CCUGGUUCCACACAGCUGAUUUAGAUGGCUGAAGAACGUCAGUCAUGAAGAUCCGCAGGAGAUCUGAUGAUCCAUUCAUUUGAUCCAGGUGUGCCGAACCACGGAAAUGCCAAAAACAUUCAGGAUAUCUAAUGGUUCAUGUUGAUCAGCAUUUCCACCAUCCUGGAAAGAAGAAACCAGCCCAGAAAGUUUUCUCCUGGACAGACUGGUGACAGCAUCCUGCCCACGCCAUGCAGCGUUCCAUCACUGCAGCUGUUGUUUACCUCCGUCUCCUGCUUCUCUUCAGCAGCCAUUCUGUUCUUCCUGCUGUCUGACAGGCGAGAAUCGGAGUCGCUUUUGAAGUGGAAGAGAAUGGCAGCUGGAGUCCAGAACAAGAUGGAAGACAUGGGCUUCCACUACAAAGCAUGGGAUAGAUAUUUCACCUAGGUGUAACGAAAUGCUGUUUCUUAUUAAAGAUGUAAAAGGUCCAAAAUUACAAAGAAGGUAAAAGAUUAUGACUAAAACUAAAUUAAAAAGUUGUUUUAAAAUAAACAUUGAUCCUGUGUUUUUGCAUCGGCUAAUCUGUGUAACCAGAAUGUUUUGGUUCUUCUGCACAUCUCUCAGCUAAACCAUGGAAAUGGUGGUGACUACCCCUAUAGACUAGCCAGCACAACGGUUGGUUACUGUGGAGACUGGAUGCAAGACGGUAGAAAGACAUUACUGACCAAGGUGUCAUAGAGAUUACUAAGGAACAUUAAUGUAAAUAUGACACAAAUGCUCCUUUUCCAUGGGCUCUAUCUUGGCCAGCUCUACUCCACUCAGCCCGUUUUGUGACCAUUUACAUCACUGGCUUUUCCGGCCUGGUACUGGCUUUCUUGGUACCUGUUCGUCAGCAGGUCCCAUGGGGCUAAGCAAACUGCUGUUCACUGAUUGUCAACGAGCAUGGUCAGCCAUUUGUCAGCGGCAUUAGAAAGUGUUUGUAGGGGAAGCGGAGAGAAUGACAAGCCACCUAUUUUAGAGCACACUGCAGUGCUGCGAAAAGCUGAAAAAUCUCAAGAGUGACGACCAAAAUAUUAAAGACUACAGUGACCUGCGUCGGUCGUACCAAAAGCCGUGGAUGUGGUGUACUUGGAUGUUUGUACUUGAGACAUAUUGCAUGUUUGGUAGGCUCACAGCAAACCAUAAGACAGCAACGGUUAAUGGCGACACAGCGUACAUUGCUGACGGCUGGAGCCUGCAGAGAGUCAAUGGAGACACAACAGCUUUCAUGCGAAGUAGAGCGAGAUUGAGCAGAGUGGAGCCGUGAGAUGCUGGAACCAUGAAUUGAAAACAGGCAAAACAUACAGACAUAGAUAAAUGCUUUAAAAGGAAUUUGGAUGCAUAAAAAAACCCAAAAAAACAAAGAGCUCGUCUUUAAUUCCAACUAGAGCUCCUUAAAUAAAGACCUCCAUUAAAAAAAAUCUAAGAAUACAGGCUUUGUGUUUCAUCUUGGUUUGAACAAUCCUAAUAUUUUUAGAAACAACGAUGUGCGUUCUGAUUGUAAAGCUCAGACGUAAUUUUGCCUGUUAAUAAAACGCGACCUAUCAUAUUGUGCAAGUGUACAACAUCGGCCACACUGCAAAGUUCCCAAAAAUUAGUAAGCAACGAAUCAGUCAGCAGCAAAAGAGCAGACUGAUGAAUACUAAUGCUGGGAAAUAGGUCAUCUAAUGAAAUGAUGCACAUCCACAAACUGAUGGAGUGAGCACUCACACUCAACAGGUGGGAUGCAAAUCAUGUGCCUUUCUGUUUGUUUGUCCUCCUGGUUGAGACAUCACUUAAGAACGAUAAUUAGCUCACUGGAAAUAACACACUUUGUCAAAACACACUUUGUGCACAGCAAUAAAUAUAGAUUUUCUGCUCCUGUUUUUAACAUGUUUGGAUCCGAUGGAAUUCUGUUGUUUCCUGAAAAACACUAAAUAAGUAGAGGUCAGCUCUAAUUUAUGUAUGAUCUGUUUAGUAAAACAACCAAUAUGCACUUCUAUCCUGACAUUUCCUACCAGCAUGAUGGAAUAUUAUCCAAACGUUAUAUUCAGCAUGCCUCACAAGUCCAACCUUAUUUAAAUUUAAGGUUUUGUCUCAGUCCAACAGAACCUGAGAUUAACAACAUAUCUCAUUUUUAGAUGCACAAUAUUAUGAGGUUUUUAGUUUCAUUUGGUGCAUGUGAAGGUGUGAAACAAACAGCGAGUAACACGGGUUUCAACAUUUAUGUCCAAAGUCCAUUCUAUCAAUACCAAAAACAUUCUUGGUUAUGUUUCAACCCAUCUUAAAACUACAAAUACAAAAAUUCACGAUGUAUUCAAAGACGAAAUGUUAACAGUGCUACGGCUUUAAAUAUAGAUGGAUUGAUGAGACUGGGUAUACAGAAAUACAAACGUUUUAUCAAAUAAAAAUCCCAUUCCAUGCUUUUCCAGAUUUUUCUGGAAUGUGUAGAAGUCCUAGUUAUAUAAACAGCCAGCUAAACAGAAACAUCAAGGUCUACAGUUUGAUCCAGACUUCUGAGGGUAAAGAAACAAUCUGAAGUUACACUUGUAUAUAAUUACAUAAUAUAAAUAUUUUUGACUUUGUUUCUGUGAUGAGGUGCCCAGAAAAACAAAUUUUUUGCAGUUUCUGUGUACAUUUCUAAAAAUGGAAAUAUUUUCUUAGGUUUUAUAAAUCCUUUUGUUCUUUAGUUUAUUUCAAGGGGAGCAGAGGCAGGCGUGCAAUUUUGAUUUAAAACCUUAGAGUAUAAAAUGCUUGCUGAAGACUACUUUGGAAGCUUAAUACCUUUAUUGCAAAUAUUUAACAGCCACAUUUAAUCGCAUUAAGGUGGUAUUACUAGAAUUAAUAAGGGAUCAUUUUAAAGCAUAGAAACUUCAGCAGCCCCUUAAAAGCGGAAGUAAACAAAUAAAAGACAACCUAUUGUAUUUUUUUAAGAUGACCUAUUAUGCAAUAUUCACUUUUUGAUAAUUUUAAUACUUCCAUUUGGGUCUCUAAUGUUGCUACAAAGAGUCCAAAAAAACAAAACAUUCCGCCGUUUUUUGGCUAUAAUUGAAUGUUUUAUUUUUCCUAGAAAACGUGCGGUUUCAAAAGCUGUGUAAUUGUGACGUCAUGAUUACACUGGCACCUAGCAACGUAACCUGAGACCCGCCCCUGACCAGCACCUGAAGCAGAGCUCCACCCACUUGAUUUUCAGUAGAGGAUCACGUCUAGCCGGCUGAGUUUACCUUACAAGUGCUUUACAAUGGCUGGGCUCACAGGCAGAUGUUUAUGUUGUUGGCGGCAAAGACUCACACGUGUCCAUGCAUUUCUCCCGCUGUCGGAUAACAGAGUCUCGUGGCUUUAUUUUAUUUUUGAGGGUAAUGUUCCAGUCACAUUGCCGAAGACAGUACUAGUUUGCGCAAAUCACUUCACCACGGACUGCGUAGUGAACACACAUCAGUUCACAAUAGGGUUUAUAGAAAGACUAAAGGGCAGAACGUAGUCGGGCAUACUGUGAGCAGAGCGCGGCUUCAUAGUUGUAUCAAUUCCCUAUACUUCUAGUGACAAAUUCCUACAUUUCCCACACAUUUCGCCAUGGCAUCAUCGGAUGGGGAGGCAGAACUAAUGUGCUGUGUAGCUUUGGAAAAACAAAAAGAAAAGAAGGUGGUUUUAAAGGCCUUUAAACCAGAGUAGGGACGAAGAAGAGGAAUACCCAGUGUUGCCAGGUGAGAAAUGUAGGAUUAUCGUACUAGAUUUAAAAUUGUCGUAUUUUGAGGGAAAUGAUCGUACACUCGUCAUAACCAAAAUAACAUGUCUGUUGAUGUGUUGAAUAGCGUCUAACAGACACUCGCAGCUUUGUGGCGUCAGAACGGAAUGGAUUUACCAACAGUUUCAGCCCCACAGAGCCGGGCUCUGCUUCUUCUUCUUCUUUUCUUUUCUUCAAUCAUGGGCGGGCGCAGUGGACUAUUCAGCCAAUCAUGGCCGUUGUUCUGAGGCCAACGCAUAGACGUAGGUCCAAUUUAGAAAAGCACGAUU
Molecule: long non-coding RNA, 4011 nt
Organism: Girardinichthys multiradiatus
Lineage: Eukaryota; Metazoa; Chordata; Actinopteri; Cyprinodontiformes; Goodeidae
Exons: 4
Source: RefSeq, a predicted model, not a curated record